This is a long non-coding RNA of Panicum virgatum (switchgrass), 1678 nucleotides long. RefSeq lists it as uncharacterized. NCBI's taxonomy places the organism in Eukaryota, Viridiplantae, Streptophyta, Magnoliopsida, Poales, Poaceae. The record is from RefSeq and is a predicted model, not a curated record. The transcript has 2 exons.
UUCCUACCCACUUUCAGUGCACAUUAAUUCCACGUUCUAUUCUCCCCUUCUUUCUCUCACAGACCUGGUUGCAAUCGAGAAGCGAGGCAAUCGGUGCCGGGGCGGAGACGCCGUGCGACGCUCCCGUCACUGGCGGCAUGGCUCCAUGGGAGGCGAUACAAGCAACCAAAUCGCCAGCACCUACGUGGGUCUAGAGCAGCGACCUCCCCUCGGCUGGAUCUCACCACGGUGAACCCCCUGUCACCAGCGACAUGAACCAGCGGCGGCGCUGCUGGAUCCCAACGACUACUGCUCCCCUUCCUCCAUGAUGGGGCAGCUCUUCGCUUCUGUUGGGGCCACACACCAUCACCUGCGAAGGCGCCAUGGUUGUGAUCUGCCUAGGCAACAACUUCCUCGACGGGUGCAUCUGCAUAGGAGCAGGAGCAGUAUCUCUCUCCAUGCAUAGUUUCUUCUUUAUGCCAUCUUCCAGCAGCCAAGCAUGCAGACGGAGAUGCCUGAAGAAUAAUAUGCAGCUCAUGCUAAUCCUCUCAUGUGGUGUUGAACGGAUAAAAAAUUAUCAUUUUGCUUCCACAUUGCAAGCCAGAUGCAUGCUAGCUAUAGUAGUAUUUUCUAUUAUUCAGAGUAGUAUAGUAUUCAUAUUCAAGUAGUAUUUUCACACUUUUUCAGUAGUUUCAUAAAUUAUAGUAGUAUUUUUUUUCUUACUCAAGUAGUAUUUUUCACAAUUUCGUAUUGUCAUAAUUUUGAGUAGUAUUUUUUAUAAUAUAGAGUAGUAUUUUUGAGUAGUAUUUUGAUAUACUACAAUUCUGAACCUUUUUAUUUCACGCAAGGAAGUUGUUAUUCUAUACAUGAGUAUCAAGCCUAGAAGUAAUUCUAAAUAUUCAGAGAAGUAAUGCACAUAUUAGAGUAGUCCUAUUGGAUCCAUUCCAUUGUUGUACUCUGACCAAGACUAAUUAUAAAUGUUUAAGGUAAUUCACAUCUUGCCAUGUUCACAAGUAAUUUUGAAUGUUUAAGGUAACUCACGGUUCUGGAUGGCGGUGCUGGCUUCAAUAAUUGUCCUGUCUACAGUAGGACUCACUGUUGAAAUUACUAUUUAUUCCUUUUACCUUGUCCAUUUCCUUCACGUGAUAUUCUCUGGAUAUAUUCGAGAAUAUAUUCGGUGCUUGAUGUCUGCGAUAUCAAUCAUUCGGGCGUGGAAGACUAUACACCGAAUAUAUUCUUGAAUAUAUCCAGAGAAUAUCACGUGAAAGAAGUGGACAAGGCAAAAGGAAUAAGUAGUAAUUUGAACAGUGAGUUCUACUGUAGCCAGGACAAUUAUUGAAGGCAGCACCACCGUCCAGCUGUCCAGGCAAUAGUAAAAGAGGAUAAUUGAAGACGCCGGCUGUCCAGGCGAUUCCUUAAGCCAGAAGACUCCUCCAUCUAUAAAAGGAGAAGCCAGACGCAGCACUCGACACGGCGCGCAGAACUGAAAGCCACCGAAGACAUCCGCCACUCCACUCCACUCCACUUAAUUAGUAGCCGUCUCACUCCCAUUGUAAUAUAGAAAUAAGGGAGAAGCUGUGAUCGUCAAUCAUCUAUAAGGUAAUCCUAAGGUUUGUACUAAGUGCUUGGGGUUUCCCGAAAGGGAAAGCCGUAUGUAAGUUUGCUCUGUGGAAAUGGAUUAAGCUUUCUUGUGAAUUUC